GAUGAACGCUGGCGGCGUGCCUAAUACAUGCAAGUCGAACGCGCAGCGAAAGGUGCUUGCACCUUUCAAGCGAGUGGCGAACGGGUGAGUAACACGUGGAUAACCUGCCUCAAGGCUGGGGAUAACAUUUGGAAACAGAUGCUAAUACCGAAUAAAACUUAGUAUCGCAUGAUACAAAGUUAAAAGGCGCUACGGCGUCACCUAGAGAUGGAUCCGCGGUGCAUUAGUUAGUUGGUGGGGUAAAGGCUUACCAAGACGAUGAUGCAUAGCCGAGUUGAGAGACUGUGCGGCCACAUUGGGACUGAGACACGGCCCAAACUCCUACGGGAGGCUGCAGUAGGGAAUCUUCCACAAUGGGCGCAAGCCUGAUGGAGCAACGCCGCGUGUGUGAUGAAGGCUUUCGGGUCGUAAAGCACUGUUGUAUGGGAAGAAAUGCUAAAAUAGGGAAUGAUUUUAGUUUGACGGUACCAUACCAGAAAGGGACGGCUAAAUACGUGCCAGCAGCCGCGGUAA
RNAcentral lists this ribosomal RNA (513 nucleotides) under uncultured bacterium. RNAcentral's name for it is "partial 16S ribosomal RNA". It matches the Rfam family "Bacterial small subunit ribosomal RNA", at positions 28 to 523 of the family's 1533-position model. The record is from RNAcentral.